CAAGAUGGUUGAAUUAUAAACAAUAAACUGUAAAUUUAUUUAUGGGCUAUAUCCCUCUUG
Molecule: transfer RNA, 60 nt
Filed under: Paracanthobdella livanowi
Lineage: Eukaryota; Metazoa; Annelida; Clitellata; Acanthobdellida
Description: tRNA-Tyr
Source: RNAcentral